UGCUGCAUAUUAGAGAGAAUGUAUAGAGAAGGUCAGAAGGAGUUGCACUGUGUCAUUGUGGACCCAGAGAAAGCGUAUGAGAGGAACUGUGGUCCUGCAUGAGGAAGUCAGGAGUAAAAGAGAGGAGUAGCCGAUGUUGUGCCAAAAAGGGAUCGCUGUCCAAAAAGUGAUUUACGGUAUUUAAAGGUUCAUCUCCAUCGUCUGCAGAGCAGAGGACCGGGUCAACACAGGUGCACUGCACUGUGAGCUAUUCCAAACUCCUACAAUCCUUCCAUGGCACAAGAAAGACUGAGUGGACUGGCAGUAAUUAGUAUUAACAACAAAGUUGGCCAUCACAUUUCUUGCAAUGAUGUAAUAAAUGAUUUUGCCUCCAGAAAAGCUGGGAAACAAAGGUGUUAAGAUGGAGUGUUGAGGAAAAACAAAAAGGUCAAAUGUUUGGAGUCCAAUCAUUCAUUUUGAAACUGUAGCUCUCACAGCUCAGGACAAGCAGACACCUGAUGACCACUGAAUGGAAGUGAAACAAGAAUUCAUAAUUAUGUUUGUGUCUCAUGAACACAUGAUGAUAAAACUCUGCAUAUGCAGUCAGGAGACUGAUGACCUGUGAAAUGAGCUGUUAGAAUUGUGCAGAUAUCUGUAAACAUUAUAUGUAGCAAAACUUCUGGCCUACAGGAAAUGACGACAUCGGAUAUCAAAACAAGAAAUCUGUCAUAUGAUAAAAAUGAACAAGUUGGGUUUCCAACUUUAAAACAUCUUCGUGUCUGCUGCACUUUAACUCAAGAUUAAUCCCAUUAAAUGUAUGAGAACCUUUAAUCACAUCCUCUCUGUAGUGAAAUAG
This is a long non-coding RNA of Oreochromis niloticus (Nile tilapia), 835 nucleotides long. RefSeq lists it as uncharacterized. Lineage: Eukaryota; Metazoa; Chordata; Actinopteri; Cichliformes; Cichlidae. The record is from RefSeq and is a predicted model, not a curated record. The transcript has 3 exons.